GCUGUAGCUCAGUGGUAGAGCAUCUACUACAUGUGGAGGGUCUCAGGUUUGGUUCCUGGCAUCUCCA
Podarcis lilfordi (Lilford's wall lizard) is the source of this 67-nucleotide non-coding RNA. The record is from the annotation of a GenBank genome assembly. NCBI's taxonomy places the organism in Eukaryota, Metazoa, Chordata, Lepidosauria, Squamata, Lacertidae.